This 59-nucleotide ribosomal RNA is filed under the name Allium cepa (onion). RNAcentral describes it as "partial large subunit ribosomal RNA". It matches the Rfam family "Eukaryotic large subunit ribosomal RNA", at positions 1 to 57 of the family's 3401-position model. Lineage: Eukaryota; Viridiplantae; Streptophyta; Magnoliopsida; Asparagales; Amaryllidaceae. The record is from RNAcentral. RNAcentral also lists the same sequence under 1 other name.
CAUGACCUCAGAUCAGGUGGGGCAACCCGCUGAGUUUAAGCAUAUCAAUAAGCGGAGGA